UUGCUUGGGCAGCACAUAUGAGAAAAUUGGAAUGAUACAGAGAAGAUUAGCAUGGCCCCAGGCAAGGAUGACACACAAACUCUUGAAGCAUUCCAUAUUAAA
Molecule: small nuclear RNA, 102 nt
Organism: Sorex fumeus (smoky shrew)
Lineage: Eukaryota; Metazoa; Chordata; Mammalia; Eulipotyphla; Soricidae
Source: RefSeq, a predicted model, not a curated record